GAUGAACGCUGGCGGCGUGCUUAACACAUGCAAGUCGAACGGAAAGGCCCAAGCUUGCUUGGGUACUCGAGUGGCGAACGGGUGAGUAACACGUGGGUGAUCUGCCCUGCACUUCGGGAUAAGCCUGGGAAACUGGGUCUAAUACCGGAUAGGACCACAUUUUGGAUGGUGUGGUGGAAAGUUUUUCGGUGUGGGAUGAGCUCGCGGCCUAUCAGCUUGUUGGUGGGGUAAUGGCCUACCAAGGCGUCGACGGGUAGCCGGCCUGAGAGGGUGUACGGCCACAUUGGGACUGAGAUACGGCCCAGACUCCUACGGGAGGCAGCAGGGGGGAAUAUUGGACAAUGGGCGCAAGCCUGAGGCAGCGACGCCGCGGGGGGGAUGACGGCCUUCGGGUUGUAAACUCCUUUCGCUAGGGACGAAGCGUUUUUGUGACGGUACCUGGAGAAGAAGCACCGGCUAACUACGUG
Molecule: ribosomal RNA, 467 nt
Filed under: uncultured bacterium
Lineage: Bacteria
Description: partial 16S ribosomal RNA
Rfam family: Bacterial small subunit ribosomal RNA
Source: RNAcentral